Long non-coding RNA from Alligator sinensis (Chinese alligator), 678 nucleotides. RefSeq lists it as uncharacterized. The record is from RefSeq and is a predicted model, not a curated record. Lineage: Eukaryota; Metazoa; Chordata; Crocodylia; Alligatoridae. The transcript is spliced from 3 exons.
UACCAGCAAUGGAAUCCAACAGCAGCCAGCUGUCAUUUGGGGAGAGAAAACAGCAACAAGAACUCUGCUGAAUUGGCUGGGAUUGGAAGAACUUGCUUUGGAAUAUUGGCCUUCAGGAGCUUUAUAUUUCAAAGUCAAACAACAACCAACCAUUCAAGCAUGGUGAUGAAUGGUGUGAUCAAACAAGAGCCUUCAGAGCAGAAAAGUGCAGCAAAUGGGAACAAAAAAGGAGACACACAAGGACACUGCUGCCGAUGAAGCAAGAAGCAAAACCAUACAGAUCAGCCUCCAGUCACAUCUGUUUGUAGAGAGGAAGAAUGAACCGUGACCAAAAGUCCAGGGGCAGGAUGCUGCCUGCCAGACCCAACACCCAGGAUAUGCAGUGUCUCGAGUGAUAUUUAAGUAAUAUGUCCCACCGACCUUGUGUCUGUAUGUGGGCGGGGGGGAGUCCGUUUUUUUGACUGUGUGCCAACCCCCACCCUCUUCUUCCUCUUCUUCCUUUUUCCCCCUCCUCGCAGAAAACUUUUGUGGGUGGAACUUGCUGAGGCUGGCAACCAGCCCACAGCCCAGUAGUGAAUGAAAAUAGUGAAGAGGAAAGUACAGUGAAAUAUCUUCAAGGGGUUUUACAUUUUCUUACAUUUUGUAUAUAUUGUAUAUUGUUAAAUUGUAUAUAGUUAU